RNAcentral lists this long non-coding RNA (1025 nucleotides) under Athene cunicularia (burrowing owl). RNAcentral's name for it is "lncRNA (ENSACUG00000008186.1)". The record is from RNAcentral. Lineage: Eukaryota; Metazoa; Chordata; Aves; Strigiformes; Strigidae.
AGAUACGCUGGCCUUAACCUCCUUGCUGCUUGGGACUGCAGAUAAACAUCUGUUUGCCUUUUGCAACUUCUAAUGUGUUGUUUUUAAUGUAGAUCUACCAUAAUUUCCAUUUUGUGGUAACCUGAUUUGGUUUUGGUACAAUAACAGCAACAAAUGGAAGUGAUAAUUUGCAUCUGAAGCUGGAAAUAUGUUUUACAAAAACUGCUAUGCAAAGGGUAGCACCUUUGCAUGCUCAGUACCGUAUCACAUUAAUCAUAUGGUACUCAGCGAACCUAUUCUUACUCAGUCCUCCUACAGAAAAUAGAGAAGUACAUUUUUAGCAGGAAAAAACCUGUGAGUAUCCUUGUGACAGUGUACAGAUUUCUCAGGGCUUUCUGGAAGGAAACUUGGACUUCUGCCACCUGCUCCGAUUGUGUUCAUGCAUAAAUGAUCCAGGGAAUGGGUUGACAUUACCUCUAAUUAGGGGUAAUAACAGCCUGCUACUGAAAGAGCCAGUUCCCUUUCUCUUGUGUGUGUGUCCCUCAUUUCUCCUGUGUUAGGUCUAGUGUUUGUGCAGCCACAGGGUAAGUCAGUUCAGUGACCUGAUCCAGCAGAAAACUCAACCAUUAAGAAAAAAUAGAAAACCGUUGGUUGGUUUGUUGUUUUUUUUUUUUUCAUCAGGUCAAUUGACUGAAGCUCUGUAACCAUUUGAUCUGCGUGAUGUACAGGAUGGCGAGGAGUGGGGUGAGAUGAAGGCAGAGUGCAGGACUACACCCUUUUGGUGGCCUUCUGCAAUUGCACUGAUCAGAGAGCCCUUCCCAAUAAACAGGAAUAGGAGUAAUGGACAGAAAGACACUCUUAAGUCCUUCUCAGCUGUAUGUCUCUUGAAGCUUGGGUUUGGUGUUUUUUGGUUUUUUUUUUAGAGAAAUCUGAUUUUAGGGAACAGGUCAAGACCUAGGUAUUAUUUGUGCAGUAGUACUCACCCAUGAUGUUACAGUUCAACCAUAAUUUUGUGCAAGAAAUAAAGAAACAAGAAAUAGCGAACA